AACGAACGCUGGCGGCAUGCCUAACACAUGCAAGUCGAACGCACCGCAAGGUGAGUGGCGCACGGGUGAGUAACGCGUGGGAACCUGCCCUGGAGUGGGGAAUAACCCGGCGAAAGCCGGGCUAAUACUCCAUACGUCCUUAGGGAGAAAGAUUUAUCGCUCUAGGAGGGGCCCGCGUCGGAUUAGCUAGUUGGUGAGGUAACGGCUCACCAAGGCGACGAUCCGUAGCUGGUCUGAGAGGAUGAUCAGCCACACUGGGACUGAGACACG
This 270-nucleotide ribosomal RNA is filed under the name uncultured bacterium. RNAcentral's name for it is "partial 16S ribosomal RNA". It matches the Rfam family "Bacterial small subunit ribosomal RNA", at positions 29 to 328 of the family's 1533-position model. The record is from RNAcentral.